RNAcentral lists this ribosomal RNA (614 nucleotides) under Bifidobacterium boum. Its description in RNAcentral is "bacterial SSU rRNA". It matches the Rfam family "Bacterial small subunit ribosomal RNA", at positions 68 to 692 of the family's 1533-position model. Lineage: Bacteria; Bacillati; Actinomycetota; Actinomycetes; Bifidobacteriales; Bifidobacteriaceae. The record is from RNAcentral.
AUCCUGCGGGCUUUGCUUGCGGGUGAGAGUGGCGAACGGGUGAGUAAUGCGUGACCAACCUGCCCCAUGCUCCGGAAUAGCUCCUGGAAACGGGUGGUAAUGCCGGAUGCUCCCGCGCCCCGCAUGGGGUGUGGGGAAAGCUUUCGUGGCAUGGGAUGGGGUCGCGUCCUAUCAGCUUGUUGGCGGGGUGAGGGCCCACCAAGGCGUUGACGGGUAGCCGGCCUGAGAGGGCGACCGGCCACAUUGGGACUGAGAUACGGCCCAGACUCCUACGGGAGGCAGCAGUGGGGAAUAUUGCACAAUGGGCGCAAGCCUGAUGCAGCGACGCCGCGUGCGGGAUGGAGGCCUUCGGGUUGUAAACCGCUUUUGUUUGGGAGCAAGCCCUUCGGGGUGAGUGUACCUUUCGAAUAAGCACCGGCUAACUACGUGCCAGCAGCCGCGGUAAUACGUAGGGUGCGAGCGUUAUCCGGAAUUAUUGGGCGUAAAGGGCUCGUAGGCGGUUCGUCGCGUCCGGUGUGAAAGUCCAUCGCUUAACGGUGGAUCCGCGUCGGGUACGGGCGGGCUGGAGUGCGGUAGGGGAGACUGGAAUUCCCGGUGUAACGGUGGAAUGUGUA